GCAUAUCAAUAAGCGGAGGAAAAGAAACCAACAGGGAUUGCCCUAGUAACGGCGAGUGAAGCGGCAACAGCUCAAAUUUGAAAUCUGGCUUCGGCCCGAGUUGUAAUUUGCAGAGGAAGCUUUGGGCGCGGCGCCGUCUGAGUCCCCUGGAACGGGGCGCCAAAGAGGGUGAGAGCCCCGUAGAGACGGAUGCCUAGCCUGUGUAAAGCUCCUUCGACGAGUCGAGUAGUUUGGGAAUGCUGCUCAAAAUGGGAGGUAAAUUUCUUCUAAAGCUAAAUACCGGCCAGAGACCGAUAGCGCACAAGUAGAGUGAUCGAAAGAUGAAAAGCACUUUGAAAAGAGGGUUAAAUAGCACGUGAAAUUGUUGAAAGGGAAGCGCUUGUGACCAGACUUGCGCCGGGCUGAUCAUCCGGUGUUCUCACCGGUGCACUCUGCCCGGCUCAGGCCAGCAUCGGUUCUCGCGGGGGGAUAAAGGUCCUGGGAAUGUGGCUCCUCCGGGAGUGUUAUAGCCCGGGGCGUAAUACCCUCGCGGGGACCGAGGUUCGCGCUCUGCAAGGAUGCUGGCGUAAUGGUCAUCAGCGACCCGUCUUGAAACACGGACCAAGGAGUCAAGGUUUUGCGCGAGUGUUUGGGUGUAAAACCCGCACGCGUAAUGAAAGUGAACGUAGGUGAGAGCUUCGGCGCAUCAUCGACCGAUCCUGAUGUUCUCGGAUGGAUUUGAGUAAGAGCGUUAAGCCUUGGACCCGAAAGAUGGUGAACUAUGCUUGGAUAGGGUGAAGCCAGAGGAAACUCUGGUGGAGGCUCGCAGCGGUUCUGACGUGCAAAUCGAUCGUCAAAUCUGAGCAUGGGGGCGAAAGACUAAUCGAACCAUCUAGUAGCUGGUUACCGCCGAAG
This 894-nucleotide ribosomal RNA is filed under the name Remersonia thermophila. Its description in RNAcentral is "LSU rRNA". It matches the Rfam family "Eukaryotic large subunit ribosomal RNA", at positions 38 to 966 of the family's 3401-position model. The record is from RNAcentral. Lineage: Eukaryota; Fungi; Ascomycota; Sordariomycetes; Sordariales; Chaetomiaceae.